GUGCUGCAGCUGGACCCAGUAAUGUGGAAGAAUCACCCAGGUGGUACUGGUUUUGAGGAUAUGAAGGGGUCAUGAAGAGCAGCUGAGGUUUGGCACUGUGCAAAGUCAGGGAAAGCCGUUGAUGAAGGUGUAGCCUCAGUUGUAGUUGAUGGCCCAGGACCAAAGGUGUCAUGCAAAGUAGUUGAGGCUUGACACCAUGAGGAGAGCCUAUGAGAGGCUAUUGGUGAAGCCUAGUUGCAGUGGAAGACCCCAACAUAUUGGAGAUGCCAGUACCAUGGGGGUGAUCACCAAGAACAGCAGCACCAGUGGAAUCAACCAGAGCCUAGAGUGCUACAGAGGGCCAAGCUGUAGAAGUGACUCAGGCCCUUUGGAAGAGCUCGUGUGUGUAACAGGAAGCCUGGAAGUUGAAGUUGUCUUGGAGACCCCAAGAUGUUAAAGAUACCAGAACCAUGGGAUGUCUGCUGAGGAAAGCUGCUAACAGGGAGUGGAACCAGCCCAGGACAAAAAAAA
This 510-nucleotide long non-coding RNA is filed under the name Rattus norvegicus (Norway rat). RNAcentral describes it as "long non-coding RNA NONRATT009487". Lineage: Eukaryota; Metazoa; Chordata; Mammalia; Rodentia; Muridae. The record is from RNAcentral.